GACAGCAUGACCCACACAGCUAGCUGGGGCUCCUUGGAGAGAAAGGUCUUCCUGGUGUUCUGAUGACCCCUGGUCCUCUGUCUAAUCUGUAAACAGGAGGAGAUGGGGAUUAUAUUCCUGGUGCCACACUGUGAAUUCAGUGAAGGCGAAUAAUGCACAAAACGAGCUUCAACUGUUCUCCUCUCAUUCUGGAAGAUCAUUAAAGAUUAAAAGAACAAGAAACAACAACAACAAAAAAAGAUGCACAAAUUGUUGAAGAGUAGUUUCCUUCUCCAACAGUGAGUGUUGUUUUCAGUGCCUGUUAAUGGAAACACUGCCGAAUAUUCAGCAGAUAUUUAAAAAUCCGAGUUUAUUGAAGAAAACCAAAGAGCUGAACUAAUAAAUGUUUUUAAAGGAUGUUGGGUUUAAAAAUGAAAAUCCUCAAGACUGGUUUCCCACACUUUACAAGACUGAGAACCCACGCUUGCUACACAAGAUGAUGAAGAUUAAGAAUGUACAUAUUUUAUUUGCAUAGUAUCUCCUUAAAAGACAAAAAAAUGAUAGUUUGUACAAUACAUGGUGCUUUAUUAAUGCCAGUUGAUUCACAGGAUGUCAGCGCUGGAAUGCUUUGGGGACUUGGAUCCAGAACAGGGCUCUGCCGGCUCUGCCACGCCUCGCCCUGCCCCCACUCCAGGCUCCUCUGGGCAUGCGCAGGGAGGUCAGGGCUAGGGAUGUGCGGUCACUAUUGAACUUGGCAGUUGCUUCAACUUGUUAGGGUGGAAUUGAGCGCGUUCUCUGACGGUUAUCAGAAAUCAACCGUCCACCAGGUCCUCGUCCUGGUACUUGUCUUUCAAAGCCACCUCCCUGCCACCCCUCCAUUCAUUGCUCUGAGCUCCCCUGGGCUCCCCUCGGACAGACCCAGGGAAGGUCCGCUUCCCACAUCAUCCAGGUGGAAAGCGCGGCUCGGGUAAGGGCCUUUGUCCCAGUGUGGAUCUCUUGACCCUAAUUAGUGCAGUCCCACAGGACCAAAAGUUCCCGAGGGUCCCUCCGCAGAGUAGGCAAGGUCUGGCGCGAAGGUAGUUCCCAGUCCCUGCGUCUGGGCUUGACAGUGCGGCGCCUUUGGAAACGCUGAAGUCAAGUUUCCUUCUGGUUUUUCCAAGUAAGUCCAUGCAAAACGUGGGGACCUCUGCUGGACAUGUCUCUGGAGCAUCAGUAGGACCUCAAGAUUUGGAAGACAUGGAGUUAAGUCAUUUCCAAGGAACCUGUUCUCUGAGCUGUUGGAAGCCAACAGAGCCCUGUGAUAAACUCUCAGAAAUGCUGUGGCUCCUGCUCUUCAGCGGCUGCCUGAUUUCCUGCACUUCUGAAGACUAGAGGGCACACAUAGCUGGAAGCACAGAGUCAUCUUCCCUCCACCACAAACAUGGAAGAAAAGACAGAGAGGAGCAGGAGGGAGAGGCCCAGAGCCCCAAGAGGCGUAGUUCAAUCUCUGCAGUCUCUACAGGACCACACCUGCAGCCCUGUCUCCCAGGCAGCUCCAGGCCAGCCUUUCAGCCUCAAAGUUAUUUUGGACACAAUGUUUUUGAAUGCUUUGGAGGUACUGGAUAGUCCCUUAAUUUGAACCCCGUGGAGUGAACCCUUGGCUCCUCCCCUACACGCAAAGUCCUCUGGGGAAGAACAUGCUUUUUGCAUGGCUCCCAUGUGCAGCAGUUUACUGGCUUGUCUUUUGCACUAUCUCCUACGUUUCCAGGGAGCUCAGGGUCAUUGUACUUCUAUUGAUACUGAAGGCCACAAGAAACCUUGGAGAGUGCAAAGAAUGCCACUCAUCCUCCCUGGGCCCUGGGCUUUUAUCCCUGCCUCUGCUGCCCCCGCAGAGGUUUCAUCAGCUCUCCUGGCUCUGAGCAGCCUCAGAUCCUGCAUCUGAGUAGGAAGUUGAAGAAGCUUCCAGGGGUCUCCUGCCAGCCCCCGUGGGCAGAGAGGCUGGAUCACACCUGCAGCAGGCACAUUCUGCUGGUUGUGCGCCUGCCUGGCUGAGCCCCUUCAGGGGGUGCUUCUGCAGCAGGAGGUUCCUUCUGUGUCUCCACCACCAAAAUGGUGCUGGGGGGACAGGGGGCCCAGGGGCCCCAGGGGGCCCAGGGCCAAGCUGGGGGGCGGGGGCCAGCAGGCCUGUUGGCUGUGCUGCUGGUCUUCUGCCCGACUGGGUUCUCAUCAGGCCUCUGACUUCCUGUAUCAGAGCAGAAAUUAAAGGUGGGAAGGGCAGGCGCAUUGCAGUCCCACUGCCUCCAGUUAGCAGAGACCCUGGGCUGUGUCUUAAGGGCUGGGGAGGGACUCCGAUAGUUGAGACUCCUCGACUCGGGUUUCCUGUAGCCUGGCAUCUGGUAGGUGGCCAUCACCUGGGCACUGUGUCACUGACUCAGUGGGUCUGCCUCUGGGUGGGACUCGAAACAGAAUCAACCGAGAAUAGUAGUCUCGUAGAACAAAUUUUAUUGGCAGCAAAUAAGGAAACCACAGGAAAUCACUUCCAAGGCAUGAUGAGUCCGGGUAACCAAGGCCAGCCGCAGUUUAUUUGGCAGGGAGUGUGAAGGGGUGUAGGUGGGAGUGAAGGUCCCUCGGCGCAUGUGCAGGGACGAGCCUGCAAUCCUGCGCAGGCGCAUUCUGAUAACGUGCCUUUGUACUUGUGAAAACUUUGUACCCUGUGAAAAUGUGGCUUCUGCUCUUCCCUGGGUGGGGAUUUGGGUAUUGUCAUGAACUAAAGUUCAUCUCUCUUGGUCACUGG
Molecule: long non-coding RNA, 2752 nt
Organism: Ictidomys tridecemlineatus (thirteen-lined ground squirrel)
Lineage: Eukaryota; Metazoa; Chordata; Mammalia; Rodentia; Sciuridae
Source: RefSeq, a predicted model, not a curated record